This 432-nucleotide ribosomal RNA is filed under the name uncultured bacterium. RNAcentral describes it as "partial 16S ribosomal RNA". It matches the Rfam family "Bacterial small subunit ribosomal RNA", at positions 29 to 506 of the family's 1533-position model. The record is from RNAcentral.
AGCGAACGCUGGCGGCAGGCUUAACACAUGCCAGUCGAGCGGGCACUUCGGUGUCAGCGGCAGACGGGUGAGUAACACGUGGGAACGUACCCUUCGGUUCGGAAUAACGCUGGGAAACUAGCGCUAAUACCGGAUACGCCCUUUUGGGGAAAGGUUUACUGCCGAAGGAUCGGCCCGCGUCUGAUUAGCUAGUUGGUGGGGUAAUGGCCUACCAAGGCGACGAUCAGUAGCUGGUCUGAGAGGAUGAUCAGCCACACUGGGACUGAGACACGGCCCAGGCUCCUACGGGAGGCAGCAGUGGGGAAUAUUGGACAAUGGGCGCAAGCCUGAUCCAGCCAUGCCGCGUGAGUGAUGAAGGCCUUAGGGUUGUAAAGCUCUUUUGUCCGGGACGAUAAUGACGGUACCGGAAGAAUAAGCCCCGGCUAACUUCGU